CAUACAGCAUCGCCGGCCUUAUUGCCGUCCUAUAAAAAUUUUCCCUUGAGCUUCAGUGGCAUACGGCGGUCACACAACACGCCGGAUGCACUCUUCCACUUCAUCCAUCCAGCUUGUAUUCUAUGGUUGAGAUCUCCAUCUAAUUCUCCGUUCUUUUGCAAGAUAGAUCCUAGGUAACGAAAACGGUCGCUCUUUGGUAUUUCUUGAUCUCCGAUCCUCACCCCUAACUCGUUUUGGCCUCCAUUUGCACUGAACUUGCACUCCAUAUAUUCUGUCUUUGAUCGGCUUAGGCGAAGACCUUUAGAUUCCAACACUUCUCUCCAAAGGUUAAGCUUUGCAUUUACCUCUUCCUGAGUUUCAUCUAUCAACACUAUAUCGUCUGCGAAAAGCAUACACCAAGGAAUAUCAUCUUGAAUAUGUCGUGUUAACUCAUCCAUUACCAACGCAAAAAGGUAAGGACUUAAGGAUGAGCCUUGAUGUAAUCCUACAGUUAUGGGAAAGCUUUCGGUUUGUCCUUCAUGAGAGUUCUUACGGCAGUCUUUGCUCCUUCAUACAUAUCCUUUAUAGCUUGGAUAUAUGCUACUCGUACUCCUUUCUUCUCUAAAAUCCUCCAAAGAAUGUCUCUUGGGACCCUAUCAUACGCUUUUUCCAAAUCUAUAAAGACCAUGUGUAAAUCCUUUUUCCCAUCUCUAUAUCUUUCCAUCAAUCUUCGUAAGAGAUAGAUUGCCUCCAUGGUUGAGCGCCCUGGCAUGAACCCGAAUUGGUUGUCCGAAACCCGUGUCUCUUGCCUCAAUCUAUGCUCAAUGACUCUCUCCCAGAGCUUCAUUGUAUGACUCAUUAGCUUAAUACCCCUAUAGUUCAUGCAAUUUUGUACGUCGCCCUUAUUCUUGUAGAUAGGCACCAAAGUGCUCAUUCGCCACUCAUUUGGCAUCUUCUUCGUUUUCAAAAUCCUAUUGAAAAGGUCAGUGAGCCAUGUUUAUACCUGUCUCUCCCAAAAGUUUCCACACUUCGAUUGGUAUAUCGUCUGGGCCUAUUGCUUUUUUAUGCUUCAUCUUCUUCAAAGCUACAACCACUUCUUCCUUCCGGAUUCGACGAUAAAAAGAGUAGUUUCUACACUCUUCUGAGUUACUCAACUCCCCUAAAGAAGCACUCAUUUCAUGUCCUUCAUUGAAAAGAUUAUGAAAAUAACCUCUCCAUCUGUCUUUAACCGCGUUCUCUGUAGCAAGAACCUUUCCAUCCUCAUCCUUGAUGCACCUCACUUGGUUUAGGUCCCUUGUCUUCUUUUCCCUUGCUCUAGAUAGUUUAUAGAUAUCCAACUCUCCUUCUUUGGUAUCUAGUCGUUUAUACAUAUCGUCGUAAGCCGCUAACUUAGCUUCUCUGACAGCUUUCUUCGCCUCUUGCUUCGCUUUUCUAUACCUUUCACCAUUUUCAUCAGUCCUCUCCUUGUAUAAGGCUUUACAACAUUCCUUCUUAGCCUUCACCUUUGUUUGUACCUCCUCAUUCCACCACCAAGAUUCCUUUUGGUGUGGGGCAAAGCCCUUGGACUCUCCUAAUACCUCUUUUUGCUACUUUUCGGAUACAACUAGCCAUGGAAUCCCACAUUUGGCUAGCUUCCCCCUCUCUAUCCCACACACAUUGGGUGAUUACCUUCUCUUUGAAAAUGGCUUGUUUUUCUUCUUUUAGAUUCCACCAUCUAGUCCUUGGGCACUUCCAAGUCUUGUUCUUUUGUCUUACUCUUUUUUGAUAUGUACAUCCAUCACCAACAAGCGAUGUUGAUUAGCCACGCUCUCUCUUGGUAUAACUUUGCAAUCCUUACAAGUUAUACGAUCCCCUUUCCUCAUUAGAAGAAAAAUCUAUUUGUGUUUUUGACGACCCACUCUUGUAGGUGAUCACAUGUUCUUCUCUCUUCUUAAAGAAGGUGUUGGCUAAGAAGAGAUCAUAUGCCAUUGCAAAAUCCAAGAUAGCUUCCCCAUCCUCGUUUCUCUCCCCAAAACCAUGGCCACCAUGAAAACCUCCAUAGUUGCCUGUCUCCCUACCCACGUGUCCAUUUAAAUCUCCUCCUAUAAAUAACUUCUCCGUCUGAGCAAUUCCUUGCACCAAGUCUCCAAGAUCUUCCCAAAAUUUCUCCUUCGAACUCGUAUCCAACCCUACUUGAGGUGCGUACGCACUAAUCACAUUGAUAAGUUCUUGUCCUAUUACAAUCUUGAUUGCCAUGAUUCUAUCUCCUACCCUCUUGACAUCUACAACAUCUUGUACCAAGGUCUUGUCCACGAUGAUGCCAACACCGUUUCUCGUUCUAUUUGUGCCCGAAUACCAAAGUUUAAACCCUGAGUUUUCUAGAUCCUUUGCCUUACUACCAACCCACUUAGUUUCUUGUAGGCACAUAAUAUUUAUCCUUCUCCUCACCAUAACUUCCACUACUUCCAUAGAUUUUCCCGUUAAGGUUCCUAUAUUCCACGUUCCUAAACGCAUUUUGCUCUCUUGAACUCUACCCUUCUGUCCUAGCUUCUUCACCCUCCCCCGUCUAAUAGGAUCAAAGUACUUCUUUUGUGUGUCCCGGGUAAAGUUGAUAGGAGCAUAUGCUCCCAAACAACUUUGAGUGGAGUCGUUCGAAAAGAAGUUUCUAUGGCCCCCUUGCUCAUUUAACACUGCAUCCGGGUGCCGAUGGAGAUACAGCGACCCUUGCUCACUUAUCACUGUGCUCAGGCCACACAGCGCGCCACUUACGGGUGACGCCCUAGCUUUAGCGCGAUUUUGUUCUGGAUUCAUUUUCAUAAGGAUUCGACGUGAUCAUGGAGUGCCGGCUGUCGACUACCUGACGCCCUCCCCCUCCUCCUUUAUCCGGGCUUGGGACCGGCCAUGUAAGACAUAGGCGGAGUUACUAAGUAGUCCCAGACUAUUGAAGAAAAAUUGCAUAAUACAUAAAAGAAAAUUAGAGGUGAUACGUACCAGCUCAAGUGCGUUGCUUAUGUUGUCCUCAUUAGCUAGAAUGGUGUCGAAAACGUUUAAAUUUUUCUUGUUGAAUGACAUUAUAUCAAUUUUAGCAUCAAGUAUAGAAUCAUAAGCCGCGUAGCGGUGUUUGGGAUAAUGAGCAAGGUAAUGAAGAGGUGCAUUGCCAUUAGCAUCCUUGUCAUUUAAGAGGAUGUUGCUAAGCCACAGAUCCGUUAACACAAAAUCAACUACGUCAACUUGAUAGCUCUUUAUGGCAUAGUGAAGCACAUUCUGACAUUGGUUGUCGACCAGUUCACAACAAUCAGGGCAAUGAGUAAGAAGCUCUUUCAUUAUAUCUAGAUGGCCUUUGGACGCUGCAAAGUGAAGAGCUGUGCGCCCAUCAUUGUCAGCAACGUAGGCGGUCGAUUUAUCACAUUCCAAUAGUUGCUUAACCAUUGACAAGUAACCAAAAUCUGCAGCCAUGUGAAGCGGAAUGCCUCCUUGUUCGUCUGCUGCUUUUGCCAGAGUUCUAUCCGAUUUUAGUAAUGCUCUCGUCAUUACUUAAGUAUAAAAGAAAAACAAAACACAAAUAAAUACUUCAAGAAACAAAUGUAUUAAUGAAACAUGAAAUGAAAGAUAAAAGGGAUUAGUUUUUUUAAAACUAUUUUCUAUAUACAUUUACCUUCAUCAUUGCGGAUAAUUGCAGCGUACAAAGCCGUUCUACCAUUUGGGCCUUCAUAAGUUGGAUUUUUGCAACCUUCAAGUAUUUGAAGACAAUAAUGAGUGUAUCCCCUCUCGACAGCUAGGUAAAGAGGAGUCUCGCCGGCAUCAUUAGGAGAGUAGGAAAACUCAGGGUCUUCUUUGGUUAAUACCUCCACCACACCAAAGUAAUUAAAGCGUACAGCUUCGUGCAGCGCUGUGUCCUUCUUGUUGUUGGUUUUCCUGAUGAGUUUUUGCUCCUGCAAGGCGGCAUCUUCUGAUGAGAUCGCACAGCCUUGCUCAAGGUCACCUUGAUAAUAAGUUUUUGUAGCUAGGAGGAGAGCUCUAACUAUACCAGCACGCCCAUAUCUUGCCGCAAUGUGUAGGGCAGUAUCACCACUAUCGUUCUGCUGCCAUAGUAAUGCUGGACACAUUUUAAGGAUACCGUCCACAGUGUUCGUUGACUUGAGUAUCUCGUCCUCAGAUUCUUUGAACGUUGGGCGCCUAUAGCAUGCUGUAUAGAUAUGAAGGACUGUGUUCUUGGUUGCAGUCAAUAUUUUGUCCAGAUUCUCGCCAUGUUCCUUAAGGACAUUGAGAUUGCCUUGUUUUGCAGCAUUGAAAAUAUCACGAUCCAUGUUACUUAUAAAAACUGUACUAUUGUUCCCUUCUAAUUUUGCGGCUUCUUGGACGUCGGCCUGAUCUGCUAGCUCGAUCUGGUCACCGACAUCGGUUGAUGCUAACGGAGUAAUAGGACUCUCCGACUGAUUAGCCACAUUGGAGGCAUCCAUGCUCUUUUGUGUGGGGGGGGGGGGUUGGUUGGUGAGAAGAGUGGUUCUGGAGGGAAGGAAAAAUUACAAGAAGGCCAGUUCUGUUGACUAGUUCAAGCUGCAACCUGUUGGAGUUUAUGUUGAGAAAAUUAGAGUACACAAUUCGAAUAUAAAUGUUGGAGAGACAAAAUCAGUAAAGAAAUUACUUGUAUUACAUUUUAAAUAUUACAACAUACAAUUCUCAAAGACACAAUUUUAGAAGUUAUGACACUCUUAUUUUUUAAAGGCAAACUCUAGAUGACUCACUUCUCACAAAAACUACUCCCUAACAACACCACUCUUACUUAAGUGGAACCCACUUCUUGGUUUUUUGCUUGCUUCUUUUUUCGGUUCUUUGCUUUGCUUUUUUUUUCUUUUUCUUUUUCUUGCUUGCUUCUUUUUUUUGGUUCUUUGCUUUGCUUUUUUUUUUUUUUUUUUUUUUUUGUUCUUUGCUUGCUUCUUUUUUUGGUUCUUUGCUUUGCUUCUUUUAUUGUUUCUUGUCUUGGUUGAUUGCUUAUCUUCAUUGAUUCAAAUGGGAUGGAUGCCUUCUCCUUUUGUAGGCAUGAAUGGAACCUUGGAUAUGUCAUAUGUACGAUUUGAAUUCAUGACCUCUCCUAUCAAAGUGGAGCAACAAGGUGCCAUCGAACGAUUACUAACAAUGAACGACUUUAGAUUAAAAAUCAAGUGCAUCAAAGAUAAUUAGAGAAACUACGUUAAGAGUUUCAACAACAACAACAAUAGAGCUUUAUUCCAUUAAGUGAGGUCAACUGUAUGAAUCCUAGAACUCUACUGCGCUUGGUUUUGCACUAAGUCUUCUGUUAGCUCCAAGUAUUUCAUGUCUUUUCUUAGAGUCGUUUUCCAAGUCUUCCUAGGUUUUUCUUUACCCAUUUACCCUAAGCCUUGCUCUCAUAAUUGCAUCUUCUAAUUGGAGCAUCGGUUGGCUCUUGGUUCAUAUGUACAAACCACCUUAACUGAUUUUCUCUAAAAAAAAAGAGUUUCCAUUUCUAAUUUUCUUUGGACCCAUACCUCUUUGAUGUAGGCAACUUUGCUAUCUGGCGUAUUUCGCUACAUGCUGUAAACAUGAACUUAGCUAUCAGCAUCACAAGGCCACUAAACAUGUGAUUCAGGAAAUGUGGCCCCUUGAGUAUUUUUCUUUCAUUAGAAAGAAGGGAAUUUGCCAAGACAAGAAGAAAAAGAAGCCAAACACAAAAGCCGCUAUGGCGAGUCCGGUAGAAGGGCCAGCCAUCAAGUACUGCAUAUGUGACGGUAAUGAACGAAACCACCAUCGCAAUCAAAGCCCACAAAAUUGAAGAUACCACCCUGAAAAACGUGUCAGAUAUCCCAUUCUCAUAAUUUGGAUUUGUGUAGACGGAGGAAUAAAGGAGCACCAGGACGGAACAACUAGACACGGCCAUGGCUAUUUUAUCUGUUAUCACGAAUGCUUUGAACGCUGCACUUCUUGAUAGAACUAUGGCACCCUGGUCAAGUCCCUUCUCACUUUGGUAACCACCAGGCAUGGUAAAACCGGCUGCGAAUGUUACAGUUGCUAUAUCAAGGUAGCCACUAGCAGAUGUGUUUCUUUUGCUUUAUUCCAACUUUUUCCGAUUUCCUUGGAACCUUGAUUUUCUUCCACUUUAUCGCGACCAUCUCUGUGAUUCUUGAUUCUGUGACCUGGUCUACCACCCCGCUUUUGCAAUUGCACUUUAUGAUUUUCCUGCAAGACAGAAAAGUAUGACAAUGUGCCGGAAAACAUAACUCAAGUUUUUCGGACACAAGCAGUAGAAGGUGAUGACUACUGAGUAUGUACCUGCUCUUAUGAUAUGCUUAUCUUGUCCUCAUUAGCUAGAAUGAUAUCAAAGGCGUUGAAGUUUUCCUGGUUGAACAUCAUUCCCGAUAUUCGAAUUUAAAAUCUCUUGUUUAUAAAAGAAAGGGAAUAUCAGUAGUCAAUAUUACUAAGACGUUUUAAAAAUCAUUCAAAUCAAAUAUCUAGAAUUAUAUUUCUUUUUGUUAAAAAGGUUUAGGAGAAGCCACUUAGUACUACAGUCUAAUAGUAUUUUUCUUUACUUGUUGAAUGUCAUUCUCGGUAUUCGAAUUUAAGAUCUUUGUUUAUAAAUGAAAAGGAAUAUUAGUAGUCAAUAGUACUAAGACCUUUUAAAAACCAUUCAAAUCAAAUAUCUAGAAUUAUAUUUCUUUUUGUUAAAAAAGUUUAGGGGUAGCCACGUAGUGCUAAUAGUAUUCCUCUUCACUUGCAAGAACGUGGUUUUAGGUUCAAUUCUCGUCAAAGGUGAAUUUAAACCACAUAAUUGCUAGCCUAUUAUGAGUCUUAAUCUACUCCCCAUCUCCUUGGAGUAAAAAUAUCGUUUGUUAAAAAAAAAGUGUAGGAGAAGGGAACUCUAUCGCAUUUUAAGGCGUACAUGCCACAAAUCUCUUUGAAAACUUACAAUAACUGAAAACUCGUUAUUUAUAAGAUUUGGGCAAAAUUGGGCUUGUUUAAUUGGACCAUUGUCAAACAACUUGGGCUCAACAGGCCCAAUUGAAUCGGGGUUACCCGGUGGAGUUUUAGACUUGGUUCUGUAACAACUGACCCGAUUGCAGAGAAGCAUCGAAAAUCCGAAGCGAAGAAGGUGGUGUCUCGUACGGAUCGAGCAAGGAAGAAAUCAGACAUGGGAGAGGUAAUAGAAACCCUACCGGCGCACCGGAGCUCCUUCGCAGCUCCAAUUGUAUUCAUCGUCGUCGUCGCUUUCCAAAUCCUCUCUAGAUGGCUGGAACAGUUAAAGAAGGUAAUUUCCUCGACUAUUUUUAACUUGCAUUCAAACAAUUUAAUCCUAAUUUCUGUGCGAAGUUAGCUCUUAAUCUUUUUUUAUACUUUAAUUGCAUUUAUUCUGAAAUUAAAAUUUGAAGUUGGGUGAUUUGUUUUGUUGGCAGGGAGGAGUUAAGAAUGCUACGGCAACCCGAUUGCGUGGAGAAAUUAAAGACCUCUUGAAGGAGGCAAGCACCUUGUCACAGUGAGUGAUUUUUUAUUAUUUAAUCAUAUUUUUUCUCCAAUUUAUCAAAUGGAAUUUUAUUUAUUUAUACAUUUUUGGAUUUUCAGCAUUGUUUUGAUGCUUGCAGCUUCAAAUUUCUUAGCUUUAUAGUAUCAGGCGUUAGUUUGGAUUAUUUGCAGUUGCAUGAUCUUUGUUUUUGCCUGAAUCCAGGCCGUCGACAUUUGCGCAAGCUGCGAAACUUCGGAGGAUGGCAGCUGCGAAGGAGAAAGAACUUGCAAAUUGUUAGUUUGCAACUCCAGCCCUUGGAUUAUUGUUUAUGUUGAUCAUAUGUAUAAUUAUAUACAGGCAUUCCUAAAACACGUAUACUACGUAUAUAUGAUUGCAGAGAGUAAUUGUAUAUGACAUCCUUGGGCUCAAAGUUGUGUUUGUAUAAUGGCGUCCACGCAUUUUAUGAGUAUGAUGUUGUUAAGCAAAGUAUUGAAUGGCGAAGACAGUUUAGGUAGUUAUUCAAUGUCAUUACGUGCCGUCCAGAUCAAGAAUUACACGGCAAGGAGAUAAAACUUUCAUAUGAUUUGUAUCUGAGAAUUUUGUUCAUCUUAAAGGUAGUUCUCAGUAUUUUGAAUUUUCGAAAUAUUUAUUAGCUUUCUUCGAUAACAGGGAAUUGCCUGAGCUAGGGUUCUUAAAAGAUACACUUGGUUGUCCAUUUAGGUCUUGACAUAUAUUGUACUGGUUUGCUGGUUUUGGAGGGUUCCUGUUGCCUCCAUAUCGCAACAACUUGUGCAACCCUUUGGUAACGUGUUCUCGAUCCAAAUUUACUUUUCGAGUCCCCUCUUUCCUAUUGAGACAGUACAUCUAUAACAAUUGAUAGAAGUUACUGAUUACUAUCUCUUGUUGCCCUGCAGGGAAGCUGAUAUCAUGGAGGGCCGGAGGAAUUGUAAACGAAAAUGUUAUGGUAAAUAAAGUUGGAAUUACUUUUGAUCGUUACUUGUCAUAUAUUAUGGUAAAUAAAGUUGGAAUUAAUUUUGAUCGUUACUUGUCAUAUAUUAAAGGUGCCUUAAAUAAAUGAUCUAAAAAAUGCCAGUCUCUUAUCACUUCUGUAAGAGUAUCUAUAUUUGCUGGCACUCUAAUGUCUCGUCAAUACUAUGUAGUGUCACUUUCGUGUUUAGACUUCCGAUGUUUGCAUAUUACGUAUCUCGAAGAGAUAGGCAUUGCUUAGCAUGCGAUAUAGAGGAAUCUUAAGCAUGGUUUUGAGUAUUGCUUCUGAUCCUUCAUGAUUUGUUUUUGCAGGUAGGAAUUAUUCCUUGGUUGAUAUUAUCUACCAGGGUUAGCAAGUUCGUAUGUCGACUUGCCAAGUUCUAGAGUUUAAAUUAUUCGUGUCCUGUCAAGUUUUUAUUGUACCGACGGAAACAUGAUUUUGUUCUGUCAUUUACUCCACAAUGUUUAGUCAUGAACUUAAGAUUGUUACCUACUCGUGUAAUUUGUACCAGUAGCGUGCAUUACUCUUUCGGUUGUCUGUGAAAUUGAGUUUAUCGUUGUAGUAUGCUAAAGGUUGUGCAAAUGCAGCAGCUCUUACAUCACAAUACAUACUUACAUAUAUAUAUAUAUAUAUAUGUUCCAAAUUUUUGAACAUUGCCAACUCACAAACUUAUCUACAAUGGAGCUAGAAGACAAACAAUUAACCUAACACCAUUUGCAAAUUUAAUCUGGACAGUACACUUGUCACUUGAUUACUACUAAACUUUAAAACUAAAGUAAACUUGUUGCUGCUUCUGCUACUUCUGUUGUUUCGAAUUCCAGUUACCAGAAACGAUUUAGGCUCCAACAGCUACUCGGUCGGCCGAGGCCUGUAUGUUCCCCUCAAGAGCAUCGAGUUAAGCAGCGAAAUACAUGAGUUACUUAUUAGCAAUACAAUGCCUGAAUACAAAUGGUGCAGGAAAUGCGGGGCCUUUAGUAUUUUUCUUUCUAAAGAAAGAAUGGAAUGUGCAAAGAAAUAGAAGAAAAAGCAACCAAGCACAAGAACUGCAAUGGCUAAUCCCGGAGAAUGACCACCAAGUACUGCGUAUGUGCCAGUAACGAAUGCAAUCACCAUUGCAAUCAAAGCCAACAUUGUCAAAGUUACUACCAUUUGAAACGUCUCAGAGAUUUGGGUCAUGUACUUUCCUUUUGUGUGAAUGGAGGAAUACAGGAGCACCAGGACAGAACAACUAGACAGGGCCAUGGCUAGUGUAUCUGUUAUAACAAAUGCUUUGAACGCUGUGUUUUUUGAUAGAAUUGGGGAACCCUGGUCCGAUCCUCCUCCGCUUUGGUAACCACCGGGCAUGGUAAAACUCGCAGCAAAGGUUACGGUUGCUAUCAGUGUAGCCACCACCAGAUGGGUUUCUCUUGCUUUCGUUAUUCCUACUCCAGUGUCUUUGCCACCUUGGUGUUCCUCCUCCACUUCAUUGCCAUCAGCGUUGUGGCUUUUAAUUCUGUAACCUGGUCCACCACCCCUUACUUGCAAAAGUUUUUUUAAAUCUUCCUGCAAGACAUAAAAGAUUAAUGUUAUCUUCACAGACAAAUCUAAGGAUGAAGUUUAUGACCACCCUUAUUAUUGGUUAUGUAAUUGUACGGACAAGUUAUCCUUAUUUGGAUAGCUUAGGAUUUACUUCAUGGACAGAGCCGGAAAGUUUUUUUUUUCAGUGGGGUAACAUAGUAACAGGCUUCUCUUCUGUAGUCUAGGACUCUAGUCUACUGAGUAGCCCAACUUUUUAAACAGUUUCACCAUUCGAUUUCUUAGCAUCAGUCUUCACCGUCCAAUUUAGGACUACUCAAUAGUCCCAGACAGUUGAAGAAAAAGUGCAUAAUAACAUAAAAGAAAAUUAGAGGUGAUACGUACCAGAUCAAGUGCGUCACUUAUGUUGUCCUCAUUAGCUAGAAUGUUGUCGAAAGCGUUUAAGUUUUUCUUGUUGAAUGACAUUAUAUCAAUUUUCGCAUCAAGUAUAAUAUCAUUCUUCCAGGGGAAGGGAUACUGAGCAAGGUAAUGGAUAGGUGCAUUGCCAUGAGCAUCCUUGUCAUUUAAGAGUAUGUUGCUAAGCCACAGAUCCGUUAACACAAAAUAAACUACGUCCUCUUGAUGGCUCUUUAUGGCAUAGUGAAGCACAUUUUGACAUUUGUUGUCGACCAGUUCACAACAAUCGGGGCAAUGAGUAAGAAGCUCUUUCAUUAUAUCUAGAUGGCCGUCGGACGCUGCAAAGUGAAGAGCUGUGCGCCCAUCAUUAUCAGCAACGUAGGCGGUAGAUUUAUCACAUUCCAAUAGUUGAUUAACCAUUGAAAAGUAACCAAAAUCUGCAGCCAUGUGAAGCGGAAUGCAUCCUCGUUCGUCUGCUGCUUUUGCCAGAGUUCUAUCCGAUUUUAGUAAUGCUCUCGUCAUUACUUAUGUAUAAAAAGAAAAAGAAAACACAAAUAAAUACUUCAAGACACAUGUAUUAAUGAAUCAUGAAAUGACAGAUAAAAAGGAAUAUUCUUUAACUAUUUUUUAUAUACAUUUACCUUCAUCAUUGCGGAUAACUGCAGCGUGCAAAGCCGUUCUACCAUUUGGGCCUUCAUAAGUUGGAUUUUUGCAACCUUCAAGUAUUUGAAGACAAUAAUGAGUGUAUCCCCUCUCGACAGCUAGGUAAAGAGGAGUAUCGCCGGCAUCAUUAGCAGAGUAGGAAAACUCAGGGUCUUCUUUGGUUAAUACCUCCACCACACCACAACAACAACAACAAAGCCUUUUCCCACUAAGUGGGGUCGGCUAUAUGAAUCCUAGAACGCCAUUGCGCUCGGUUUUGUGUCAUGUCCUCCGUUAGAACCAAGUACUCUAAGUCUUUUCUUAGAGUCUCUUCCAAAGUUUUCCUAGGUCUUCCUCUACCCCUUUGGCCCUGAACCUCUGUCCCGUAGUCACAUCUUCGAACCGGAGCGUCAGUAGGCCUUCUUUGCACAUGUCCAAAUCACCGGAACCGAUUUUCUCUCAUCUUUCCUUCAAUUUCGGCCACUCCUACUUUACCUCGAAUAUCCUCAUUUCCAAUCUUAUCAUUUCUUGUGUGCCCACACAUCCCACGAAGCAUCCUCGUCUCCGCCACACCCAUUUUGUGUACGUGUUGAUGCUUCACCGCCCAACAUUCUGUGCCAUACAACAUCGCUGGCCUUAUUGCCGUCCUAUAAAAUUUUCCCUUGAGCUUCAGUGGCCUACGACGGUUACACAACCCGCCGGAUGCACUCUUACACUUCAUCUAUCCAACUUCUAUUCUAUGGUUGAGAUCUCUCUAAUUCUCCGUUCUCUUGCACGAUAUAUCCUAGGUAGCGAAAACGGUCGCUUUUUGUGAUCUUCGCUAGAUUGCUCCGAUCAUUAGUGUGGAUAAGUAUAUAAAUGGAUAUAGAUAGGAAAGCAAACACAAGAUGUACGUGGUUCACCCAGAUUGGCUACGUCCACGGAAUAGAGGAGUUCUCAUUAAUUGUGAAGGGUUUACACAAGUACAUAGGUUCAAGCUUUCCUUUAGUGAGUACAGGUGAAUGAUUUAGUACAAAUGACAUUAGGAAAUAUUGUGGGAGAAUGAUCUCGUAAUCACGAAACUUCUAAGUAUCGGAAUGUGGUAUCGUCUUGACUUGCCUUAUCUGUCUCACAGGUAGAUGUGGCAUCUUCUCUGGAAGUACUCUUCCUCCAUCCAGGGGUGGUAUCUUUAACUGGUGGAGAUGCACAAGGUAAUGUAUCAAUUUCACUUGAAGCUUACUUGUAGUUUCAGGCUUGGUCAAGCGCGAUACAAACCAUGUAGUAGGAGUCCCUCAAGUUGCCGAGCUAGGGGAUUUGCUGAAAGAGGUGACAGACAAGGUAAGCAAUCAGAGCUCCGGCUGAUUGUUCACAUUCUCCCUAUCUUGCAGGCAGCAUGAAGGAUAAAGAGAAGAAAAAUGAGAAGAGAUGAUAUGGGAUACUUUUGCUUUUGAAGAAGUAACUUUCCACAGGCUUAUUCUUGAACUGAGCUGGAGGGUUUUCUGGUUUCCUCCAGAGUAUAAGGCCGACUGAAGAAUUUGAGGGUCAAAACAAGUCCAUCAAAUCUAGAGUACGUUCGACCCCUACUGAUAUGGGAUACUUUUGCUUUGACAGAGUAAUGGAUGUAUCGGCACGUGUGCUGUUACGCUUGUCUCCACAUGCUUCCUUGUAUCCUUCUCACUUGCCCUAUCUGUUCCUCAGGCAGAUGCGGUAUCUUCCCUGAAAGCAUAAGAUGUUGAAGAUGAGUACUCGAGAGCAAUGCCAGGUAAGUAAGUUCCAGGCAGUCAGUUCCUGGCUGGAAGCUUGAUUCCAAGUGCUGACUGAUUGCUCUCUUUCUCCUUGUCUUGCAGGUAAGAACAAGGCCAAAGGAAAAGACAGGGAAAAAGCAUGAUAUGGGAUACUCUUGCUUUUAACCCUGAUGAUAUGAGAUAUUCUUGCUCUAGUAUAACUUGUUUGCAGAGGUAUUAUCGGGGGGAAAGAAAGCUGAAUAUUUCGAAAGGCUUCGUUGAGAGUGCCCUCUCAUAUAUGAGGAAGGGUUGAGCAUUUUUGCAGGUCUGUCUGUCCGUUGGGGAUGGAGGUUGACAUAUAUAGGAGUCUCCUUAACAACAAGUAGUAAUGCUAUUCCUUUACCCUGUCAGAGCACUUUGAAAAAGUGGUCUGUGGUAUGUGGAAAGCUGAUGUUGCGUGUGAAGAUUACAGACAGCUUUAUCCAAGGAGAUCCGGCUCUUGUAGUUGGGAAAGUGUUGCCUCUUCGGUUUUCGAACAAGCAAUCCUAUCAGGGAUCUGGCUCUCGAGAUUCGGAGAACGAUGUCUCUUCGAUUUUUGAGAAAGCAAUCCUGCUGGGGGUCUGGCUCUCGAGAUUCGGAGAGCGGUGUCUCUUCGAUUUUUGAGAAGGUAAUCAUGUUGGGAGUCUGGCUCUCGAGAUUCGGAGGGCGGUGCCUCUUCGAUUUUGGAGCAAGCAAUCUUGUUGGGAGUGUUUUCUCGAAUGUGAGUAAAGGUUGGGCAUGUUUGCUAGUCUACCUUGCCACGAAGCACAGAGGUUGACACACAGGGACUUUCCAAUUAUCCAGCAAUGGUAUUGUUCCUUUACCCUCUCUUCGAUUUUUGAGAAAGUAGUCAUGUUGGGAGUCUGGCUCUCGAGAUUCGGAGGACGGUGCCUCUUCGAUUUUGGAGCAAGCAAUCUUGUUGGGAGUGUUUUCUCGAAUGUGAGUAAAGGUUGGGCAUGUUUGCUAGUCUACCUUGCCACGAAGCACAGAGGUUGACACACAGGGACUUUCCAAUUAUCCAGCAGUGAUACUGUUCCUUUACCCUUGUGGGUAAUAAUAUGGGGUAGCUAGACCUUCAAAAUUUAUGUGUCUAAACUUUGUUAGUGCUGUUUCUUUGCUAUUCUUUUACCCGUCUUGGUCAGAGCGAUGUAGUGGAAGCUGCAAGCUUCACGUGCUCAACUUUGGCAGAGAACUUUGGCAAAGUUAUCUGUGAUACACAUGAGCUACUAUUGCGUGUGGGAAGUGGGUGAUUGAACAGUAAGACUCAUGUGCUUUCUACUUCACCAGAAGUCUUCGACAGAAUGCCCAUAAUUUCCGCAAAGCUGAGUGUGCGUGUGACAGGUGCUGCCAAGGCUGGAAAAGUAGGUGCCUCUUCGAUUUCUGAGAUCGGCCCUCGUGGUCUCUGAGCAGCCCAACUUUUGAGAAAGCAAGCGCCUCUUCGAUUUCUGAGAUCGGCCUUCGUGGUCUUUGAGCAGCCCAACUUUUGAGAAAGCAGACGCCUCUUCGAUUUCUGAGAUCGACCCUCGUGGUCUCUGAGCAGCCCAGCUUUUGAGAAAGCAAACGCCUCUUCGAUUUCUGAGCAGGCGCCUCUUCGAUUUCUGAAGCUCCGUCGAGUGCAGAUUUUUUUAUAGGGGCUGGCAUUAAGUUCCAAAGCACACUUGAAUCUCCACCAGUAGAAGCUCCAUUCUUACACUUCUAAGAUCUUGAUUUGUUCGACCUCUUCUCUCUUCAACACCUUUGAAAAUGUCUGGCCCCUCCGACCGUCGUUUUGACUUGAACCUUGUUGAAGAGGCAGCCCCGCCUUCUCCAGACAACAUAUGGCGCCCAUCCUUCGUCUCCCCUACUGGUCCUCUUACCGUUGGGGAUUCCGUUAUGAAGAAUGAUAUGACCGCUGCGGUGGUGGCCAGGAACCUUCUCACUCCCAAAGAUAACAGACUACUUUCCAAACGAUCUGAUGAGUUAGCUGUUAAGGAUUCUCUGGCUCUCAGUGUUCAGUGUGCAGGUUCUGUGUCUAAUAUGGCCCAACGCCUAUUUGCUCGAACCCGCCAAGUUGAAUCAUUGGCGGCUGAAGUGAUGAGUCUCAAACAGGAGAUUAGAGGGCUCAAGCAUGAGAAUAAACAGUUGCACCGUCUCGCACAUGACUAUGCUACAAACAUGAAGAGGAAGCUGGACCAGAUGAAGGAAUCUGAUGGUCAGGUUUUACUUGAUCAUCAGAGAUUUGUGGGUUUGUUCCAAAGGCAUUUAUUGCCUUCGUCUUCUGGGGCUGUACCGCGUAAUGAAGCUCCAAAUGAUCAACCUCUGAUGCCUCCUACUUCUAGGGUUCUGUCCAGUACUGAGGCUCCGAAUGAUCCCCCUCCGGUGCCUUCUCUUUCUGGGGCUCUACCGACUGCUGCGACUUCUCCUAAGCAACCUUUGUGAAGGCUCUCUCUUGUUUGUUUAUUUUGACUCAUGUAUAUGUACAUAUUUGUAGCUUAUCGGGGAUAUCAAUAAAUAAGCUUUCCUUCAUUUCAACGUAUUGUGUUAAAUACACCAAAGCCUUCUUCUCUAAGUUCUUUGAAUUUUCUUUUGUUGGAGCUUUGUGAGUGGAGCAUGUAGGUUGAGGUAGUGUUCCCUUAAUUUCCUGAGUGAGGAAAACUUCUCGGUUGGAGACUUGGAAAAUCCAAGUCACUGAGUGGGAUCGGCUACAUGAAUCUUAGAACGCCAUUGUGCUCGGUCCUGUGUCAUGUCCUUCGUUAGAUCCAAGUACUCUAAGUCUUUUCUUAGAGUCUCUUCCAAAGUUUUCUUAGGUCUUCCUCUACCCCUUCGGCCCUGAACCUCUGUCCCAUAGUCGCAUCUUCUAAUCGGAGCGUCAGUAGGCCUUCUUUGCACAUGUCCAAACCACCGUAACCGAUUUUCUCUCAUCUUUCCUUCAAUUUCGGCUACUCCUACUUUACCCCGGAUAUCCUCAUUCCUAAUCUUAUCCUUUCUCGUGUGCCCACACAUCCAACGAAGCAUUCUCAUCUCCGCUACACCCAUUUUGUGUACGUGUUGAUGCUUCACCGCCCAACAUUCUGUGCCAUACAGCAUCGCCGGCCUUAUUGCCGUCCUAUAAAAUUUUCCCUUGAGCUUCAGUGGCAUACGGCGGUCACACAAACACGCCGGAUGCACUCUUCCACUUCAUCCAUCCAGCUUGUAUUCUAUGGUUGAGAUCUCCAUCUAAUUCUCCGUUCUUUUGCAAGAUAGAUCCUAGGUAACGAAAACGAUCGCUCUUUGGUAUUUCUUGAUCACCGAUCCUCACCCCUAACUCGUUUUGGCCUCCAUUUGCACUGAACUUGCACUCCAUAUAUUCUGUCUUUUGAUCGGCUUAGGCGAAGACCUUUAGAUUCCAACACUUCUUUCCAAAGGUUAAGCUUUGCAUUUACC
This 16093-nucleotide long non-coding RNA is filed under the name Malus domestica (apple). RNAcentral describes it as "long non-coding RNA (MDOM_LNC001492)". The record is from RNAcentral. Lineage: Eukaryota; Viridiplantae; Streptophyta; Magnoliopsida; Rosales; Rosaceae.